RNAcentral lists this ribosomal RNA (883 nucleotides) under uncultured eukaryote. RNAcentral's name for it is "SSU rRNA". It matches the Rfam family "Eukaryotic small subunit ribosomal RNA", at positions 567 to 1468 of the family's 1831-position model. The record is from RNAcentral.
CCAGCAGCCGCGGUAAUUCCAGCUCCAAUAGCGUAUACUAAAGUUGUUGCGGUUAAAAAGCUCGUAGUUGGAUCUUGGAAUGUGUUCAAGCGGGUCAGCUUCUGGCUGUGCGCUGCUUGACGUGUUCUUCUAUUUGGUUUUGGUGCGGUGCGCUUAACUGCGUGUCGCUCCCGGCCGAAACGUUUACCUUGAAAAAAUUAGAGUGUUCAAAGCAGACCUGUUUGAGUCUGAAUAUUCGUGCAUGGAAUAAUGAAAUAUGAAUUCGGUUCUAUUUUGUUGGUUUUCGGAACUCGAGUUAAUGAUCAAGAGGGACAGACGGGGGCAUUCGUACUCUGCCGUUAGAGGUGAAAUUCUUGGAUCGGCGGAAGACGCGCAACUGCGAAAGCAUUUGCCAAGAAUGUUUUCUUUAAUCAAGAACGAUAGUCGGAGGUUCGAAGACGAUCAGAUACCGUCCUAGUUUCGACUGUAAACUAUGCCAGCUAACGAUCAGACAGAGUUCUCUACGACUUGUCUGGCAGUUUCCGGGAAACCAAAGCGUUUGGGUUCCGGGGGAAGUAUGGUUGCAAAGCUGAAACUUAAAGGAAUUGACGGAAGGGCACCACCAGGAGUGGAGCCUGCGGCUUAAUUUGACUCAGCACGGGGAAACUCACCCGGCCCGGACACAGUGAGGAUUGACAGAUUGAGAGUUCUUUCUUGAUUCUGUGGGUGGUGGUGCAUGGGCCGUUCUUAGUUGGUGGAGCGAUUUGUCUGGUUAAUUCCGAUAACGAACGAGACUCUGGCAUGUUAAAUAGUCGCGGAAGUGCGUAUGCACUUGCCGAAUUGACUUCUUAGAGGGACUAGUGAUUUUAAUUCACACGAGAUUGAGCAAUAACAGGUCUGUGAU